This 433-nucleotide ribosomal RNA is filed under the name uncultured bacterium. RNAcentral describes it as "partial 16S ribosomal RNA". It matches the Rfam family "Bacterial small subunit ribosomal RNA", at positions 29 to 507 of the family's 1533-position model. The record is from RNAcentral.
AACGAACGCUGGCGGCAGGCUUAACACAUGCAAGUCGAGCGAGACCUUCGGGUCUAGCGGCGGACGGGUGAGUAACGCGUGGGAACGUGCCCUUCUCUACGGAAUAGCCCCGGGAAACUGGGAGUAAUACCGUAUACGCCCUUUGGGGGAAAGAUUUAUCGGAGAAGGAUCGGCCCGCGUUGGAUUAGGUAGUUGGCGGGGUAAUGGCCCACCAAGCCGACGAUCCAUAGCUGGUUUGAGAGGAUGAUCAGCCACACUGGGACUGAGACACGGCCCAGACUCCUACGGGAGGCAGCAGUGGGGAAUCUUAGACAAUGGGGGCAACCCUGAUCUAGCCAUGCCGCGUGAGUGAUGAAGGCCUUAGGGUUGUAAAGCUCUUUCAGCUGGGAAGAUAAUGACGGUACCAGCAGAAGAAGCCCCGGCUAACUCCGUG